Molecule: ribosomal RNA, 503 nt
Filed under: uncultured bacterium
Lineage: Bacteria
Description: SSU rRNA
Rfam family: Bacterial small subunit ribosomal RNA
Source: RNAcentral
AGAUUGAACGCUGGCGGCAUGCCUUACACAUGCAAGUCGAACGGCAGCACGGGGGCAACCCUGGUGGCGAGUGGCGAACGGGUGAGUAAUACAUCGGAACGUGUCCUGUAGUGGGGGAUAGCUCGGCGAAAGCCGGAUUAAUACCGCAUACGCUCUACGGAGGAAAGCGGGGGAUCUUCGGACCUCGCGCUAAAGGGGCGGCCGAUGGCAGAUUAGCUAGUUGGUGGGGUAAAGGCCUACCAAGGCGACGAUCUGUAGCUGGUCUGAGAGGACGACCAGCCACACUGGGACUGAGACACGGCCCAGACUCCUACGGGAGGCAGCAGUGGGGAAUUUUGGACAAUGGGGGCAACCCUGAUCCAGCAAUGCCGCGUGUGUGAAGAAGGCCUUCGGGUUGUAAGCACUUUGUCAGGGAAGAAAGGAUUCUACUAAUACUGGAGUCUGAUGACGGUACCUGAAGAAUAAGCACCGGCUAACUACGUGCCAGCAGCCGCGGUAAUCUA